CCCCCAUCCAUAAAGGUCUUUGCCAUAUCUGAUUCAUUUUCUUCAGGAAGGUAAUGUGACUCUCUCCUCUCACUUCAUCAAACCUAUUAACGGAUCAGUAAGAAGAGCAGAAUAGAAUAGAUCAAAGAGGUCCUAGACAGAGGAAAGUGGGGUGAAAGAAGAAAUUUAGAAGUCGGUAGAGGGUCAUCUUUCCUACUCCUUCUCCAAGCUCUCCCUAUUAUUCCUUCACACAUUUCCACUCUUCAUCUCAUUUCCCCCAUUUCUCUCUCUCUCUCUCUCUCACUCUCUCUCUUUCUCCCUCUUCAUUUCCCCCCCUCUUCCCCCAGUUUAUGGACAUUUCUUUCUGGGAAAAUAAAGCUGCCUGAUGGAGCUGACAAGCCACUGGUGGCUUUGGAGAGAAAGCACGCUCUAGAGUGCCAGUUAGUCCUCACUCUUCAAUGCGCAGGCUCAUAAUAGGGAGGAGGAGAAGAAUCUUCCAAUCACCGGCCGCAAUUAGGGCUCCUCCACCACUCACCCCGCUUCCCCAUGAAUGAACAUUGACGUCAAUCGGGCGGAGAAGACCCCCCCAUGUGAUCUACUGGCUCCUCUUUAUAAAGAGGCGGGGCGGGCGCUGUCCAGCGUGCUGAAGCUUGGGGAAGCAAGCUAGCGGGAGAGACGGAGAAUCGACCACGCGAAGAGAGACCAGCUGGAAACUGACCGAGGCGACAGUCGAACGCAGCUCAGGGACCGAAACUCGGAGCAUCUCCUACCUCAAAAUCCCGACCCUUCCCAUUCCUCGAAUCCUAGCUGCUUCUCUCGUUUCACUUGCCUUUCCCUUCCCCCCCCCCUUUAUUUUUCUUUUCUAUAGAGUGGAAAUCAUUCUUUCCCCAGU
RNAcentral lists this long non-coding RNA (871 nucleotides) under Sarcophilus harrisii (Tasmanian devil). RNAcentral describes it as "lncRNA (ENSSHAG00000026427.1)". Lineage: Eukaryota; Metazoa; Chordata; Mammalia; Dasyuromorphia; Dasyuridae. The record is from RNAcentral.